GUCGGUGACCUAACCGUAAGGAAGGAGCCGCCGAAGGUGAAGCCAGUGACUGGGGUGAAGUCGUAACAAGGUAGCCGUAUCGGAAGGUGCGGCUGGAUCACCUCCUUU
Molecule: ribosomal RNA, 108 nt
Filed under: Anaerotignum lactatifermentans
Lineage: Bacteria; Bacillati; Bacillota; Clostridia; Lachnospirales; Anaerotignaceae
Also listed under: 1 other name
Description: partial 16S ribosomal RNA
Rfam family: Bacterial small subunit ribosomal RNA
Source: RNAcentral